UUCAAAAAGUUGAAUCCAGACUGCUCUGGACUUUUCUCUACCUCAUCCCAUUUCCAAACUGAAGAAUCUCCUAAUGAUCACAGUUCUUAUUACACUGAAAGCAACAACA
This is a non-coding RNA of Tinamus guttatus (white-throated tinamou), 109 nucleotides long. Lineage: Eukaryota; Metazoa; Chordata; Aves; Tinamiformes; Tinamidae. The record is from RefSeq and is a predicted model, not a curated record.